GAAUUCGCCCUUAGAGUUUGAUCCUGGCUCAGAUUGAACGCUGGCGGCAGGCCUAACACAUGCAAGUCGAGCGGCAGCACGGGUACUUGUACCUGGUGGCGAGCGGCGGACGGGUGAGUAAUGCCUAGGAAUCUGCCUGGUAGUGGGGGAUAACGCUCGGAAACGGACGCUAAUACCGCAUACGUCCUACGGGAGAAAGCAGGGGACCUUCGGGCCUUGCGCUAUCAGAUGAGCCUAGGUCGGAUUAGCUAGUUGGUGAGGUAAUGGCUCACCAAGGCGACGAUCCGUAACUGGUCUGAGAGGAUGAUCAGUCACACUGGAACUGAGACACGGUCCAGACUCCUACGGGAGGCAGCAGUGGGGAAUAUUGGACAAUGGGCGAAAGCCUGAUCCAGCCAUGCCGCGUGUGUGAAGAAGGUCUUCGGAUUGUAAAGCACUUUAAGUUGGGAGGAAGGGCAGUAAGUUAAUACCUUGCUGUUUUGACGUUACCGACAGAAUAAGCACCGGCUAACUUCGUGCCAGCAGCCGCGGUAAUACGAAGGGUGCAAGCGUUAAUCGGAAUUACUGGGCGUAAAGCGCGCGUAGGUGGUUCGUUAAGUUGGAUGUGAAAGCCCCGGGCUCAACCUGGGAACUGCAUCCAAAACUGGCGAGCUAGAGUACGGUAGAGGGUGGUGGAAUUUCCUGUGUAGCGGUGAAAUGCGUAGAUAUAGGAAGGAACACCAGUGGCGAAGGCGACCACCUGGACUGAUACUGACACUGAGGUGCGAAAGCGUGGGGAGCAAACAGGAUUAGAUACCCUG
RNAcentral lists this ribosomal RNA (800 nucleotides) under uncultured bacterium. RNAcentral's name for it is "bacterial SSU rRNA". It matches the Rfam family "Bacterial small subunit ribosomal RNA", at positions 1 to 789 of the family's 1533-position model. The record is from RNAcentral.